AUGUCGGCCGCCUACGACCGCGCAGCCGAGCUCCGCGCGCUGGACGACACCUUCGCCGGCGUGCGCGGCCUCGUCGCCUCCGGCGUCACCCGCGUCCCCCGCAUCUUCCGCGUCCCCGACGACGCCCACGAAGCGCCGCAGGAGCCCACCGGCGGCCGGCAAGAACCUGCAGCCAUCCCGGUGAUCGACCUCGGCUGCAGCAAUCGCGCGGCAGUGGUGGCCGCCGUGGGCCGGGCCGCGGCCGAGUGGGGGUUCUUCCAGGUGACGGGCCACGGCGUGCCCCUCGAGGUGGGCACCGCGGCGGUGGAGGCGGCCCGGGCGUUCCACGAGUCCCCCGGCGGCGAGGGCACCGACAAGGCGCGGCUCUACACCCGCGAGCCGGCCAGGGCCGUCAAGUACAACUGCAACUUCGACCUGCACCAGUCCAAGGUGGCCAACUGGCGCGACACCCUCUACCUCCGCGUCGAGCCCCACCCUCCCGACGCCGGCGACAUGCCGGACUCCUGCCGCCGUGACGUGUUCUUUGACUACGCCGAGCACGUGAGGGACCUACGGGACACGCUCUUUGCUCUGCUGUCCGAAGCACUUGGCCUCCACCCCAACCACCUGGCCGACAUGGGUUGCAACCAGGGCCAGAUGAUACUCUGCCACUACUACCCUCCCUGCCCGGAACCCGAGCUCGCCAUCGGCACCACCCGCCACUCCGACUCUGGCUUCCUCACGGUACUCCUCCAGGACGGCGUCGGCGGGCUCCAGGUCCUCCACGAGAACCGGUGGGUCGACGUCACGCCAACACCGGGGGCGUUCAUCAUCAAUGUGGGCGAUCUCUUACAGAUGAUCUCGAAUGACUGGUUUAGGAGCGUGGAGCACAGAGUCAUUGCGAAGAACGAUGCACCGAGGGUCUCGAUCGCAUGUUUCCCAAGCAAUCCAAGUUCGGAGAGGAUAUAUGGCCCCAUCAAGGAGCUGUUGUCAGAGAAGAAUCCGCCGUUGUACAGGGAGACACUCGCUAGGGAUUACGUCGCGCACUAUUACUCUGUCGGAUUGGGUCCCAAGAUGGCCAUCAAUGAUUUUCGUCUAUGA
RNAcentral lists this ribosomal RNA (1080 nucleotides) under Triticum aestivum (bread wheat). RNAcentral describes it as "partial small subunit ribosomal RNA". The record is from RNAcentral. Lineage: Eukaryota; Viridiplantae; Streptophyta; Magnoliopsida; Poales; Poaceae.